Molecule: ribosomal RNA, 729 nt
Filed under: uncultured eukaryote
Lineage: Eukaryota
Description: SSU rRNA
Rfam family: Eukaryotic small subunit ribosomal RNA
Source: RNAcentral
CGGGUGCACUGAUCCGGCCGGGCCUUUCCCUCUGUGGAACCCCAUGGCCUUCACUGGCUGUGCGGGGGAAACAGGACUUUUACUGUGAAAAAAUUAGAGUGCUCCAGGCAGGCCUAUGCUCGAAUACAUUAGCAUGGAAUAAUAGAAUAGGACGCGUGGUUCUAUUUUGUUGGUUUCUAGGACCGCCGUAAUGAUUAAUAGGGACAGUCGGGGGCAUCAGUAUUCAAUUGUCAGAGGUGAAAUUCUUGGAUCUAUUGAAGACUAACUACUGCGAAAGCAUUUGCCAAGGAUGUUUUCAUUGAUAAGGAACGAAAGUUAGGGGAUCGAAGACGAUCAGAUACCGUCGUAGUCUUAACUAUAAACUAUGCCGACUAGGGAUCGGACGAUGUUAUUUCUUGACGCGUUCGGCACCUUUCGAGAAAUCAAAGUGCUUGGGCUCCAGGGGGAGUAUGGUCGCAAGGCUGAAACUUAAAGAAAUUGACGGAAGGGCACCACCAGGGGUGGAACCUGCGGCUUAAUUUGACUCAACACGGGGAAACUCACCAGGUCCAGACACAGUGAGGAUUGACAGAUUGAGAGCUCUUUCUUGAUUCUGUGGGUGGUGGUGCAUGGCCGUUCUUAGUUGGUGGAGUGAUUUGUCUGCUUAAUUGCGAUAACGAACGAGACCUUAACCUGCCAAAUAGCCCGUACUGCUCUGGCAGUUCGCCGGCUUCUUAGAGGGACUAUCGG